This 1757-nucleotide long non-coding RNA is filed under the name Androctonus crassicauda. Lineage: Eukaryota; Metazoa; Arthropoda; Arachnida; Scorpiones; Buthidae. The record is from RNAcentral.
AGCGGUAAAAAGAAAAACCGAAGAAAUGGGACAAAAGUAUUAAACCCGUCUUCAAGAUGGGAACAACUAUCCAUAUUCGUAAUGUCAUCAUUCAAAAUAUAAUUUGGCUCUAGAAAUACAAAUUUAACUUUCGAUUGGGCAUAUUCACUGCAUUCCAGGCCGAGGAACUCCCAGUGCAUUAUGUUAUGCUUGACUCUACCUAUACAUGCAUCAAAGAUUAAAGCAGAAGAGGAAGAAAUCGGUUGUUGACUCUAUGAAAAUAUUUGGAAGGACUGCCAUCGGUUUUUCUAUGGGUGGAUUUUUCACCGUAAAGAAAAAUUUUGUCAUCCGAGUGGUAAGUGGAAUGUAUUCGGCAUUUUCAACUCUCAUCGAACUGACUGGUGUGCUUUCUUCAAGGAAAUCUUGUCGAUCAAACUCAACUAUGUUGAACAGUCUGUAGCGUAACACAGAAUUUAAACAUUUGUUAUUCGUGAGGAAAAUUAAUGCAUUUAUAAUUAAUUUACAAAAUAUUUCAAUUUCCUCUUUCUUCUUGUUAAAUUAAUUAAUUUAAUAUUUUAAGUUUUCUUUAUGCAUCAAUUAUAUUGAUAUAUUUAGAAAUUAUUGUUUUAAUUCAUUUGAACUUAAAGAAAAAUUUUGCGUUCAUUGGUGGAAUAUUAUUUUGAUUUCUUGAUUUAAUUGUGUUCUUAGGAUUAACGCGGAAUUGUUUGUAUAUUUUGUGUAAUAUAAUUGCGAUUUAUAGGCCUACACUAAAUCUGGGGUCGGCAACUUUUUUAUUACUUGUUUAUGACGUCGCAUAUUGAAUUUUUGCCAUGUCAUCCGUUACUACAUAGUACGUUAAACUGGAGUCAUCAGUUAUUCACAUUAAAUGACGUCAUACACAGGAGAGUCAACAUAAUUAUGUUGUAAUAAAUAAAAAAAAUAAUUGUGUGUUGAAAUAUGUAAAUUUAUACAAAAUAGAGAUUUUGCAGACAUAAUAACUAAAAAAUCAAAAUUAAAAGUACAUAAAUAAACUAAAAAAAAUUACGUUACAAGAAAUUGUUAUUAUAUGAAUAAAUUUAAUGAGAAAUUUAUGCAUUCGCUUGCAUUUUGAAUUACGUAUGCCUAAAUUUCUUAUACGCAUAAACGGGAACAAUAUACGGAAUGCAUUUGAGAUACGUCGCGUUGCCGACCCCUGCAUUAAAUGAUCACGAAUAAUCACGAUUUAAUUAAUCAAUUUAUUUAUGGCGGGUCUUAAUUUGAUUGAAUGUGGAAUAUUUCAAUGCAUAGUUUGCUCGAUUAAAAUAACUUUUAAAAUAAAAUGAAAUUAUUUUUUGCAUAAAUGAUGAGAAAACAAGUAUAUAAGUUAUUAGUGGAGUGGGAAACAUUUCCUAUUGUACAGUAUUCUGUAGAAUUUCUAGCAUGUUUAAAGAAAAGUAUAAUAUAAUAGACACAAAGGGAGACGCUAUUAACGAAGGGAAACUUGUGAAAUCCAAACUGAUAAAAAUAUAAUAGAAAAAUGAAAUUAUUAUCUGAAACAUCAACUAAAUAAAAAUGUUUUAAUGAACAUUUCAUCAUUUUAGUUUUGCAUUUGUUGCAACAGUCUCAAAGUGAAUGAUAUCUGGAAUUCCAUAAUGCUGAGUUUUCGACAUUGUGGGCAAUUAAGAGAUGGAGCAAAAAUUAACAAAAUCCAUUGAUUUACGAAAAAAAAAAAAUUUUGAAAACAAAAAAAAAAAAAAAAAUUAAAUUCAAUUUGAUGUCGAAAAAAAUGAAUCAGUAAA